This 253-nucleotide ribosomal RNA is filed under the name uncultured bacterium. Its description in RNAcentral is "partial 16S ribosomal RNA". It matches the Rfam family "Bacterial small subunit ribosomal RNA", at positions 524 to 776 of the family's 1533-position model. The record is from RNAcentral.
UACGUAGGGUGCGAGCGUUAAUCGGAAUUACUGGGCGUAAAGCGUGCGCAGGCGGUUCGUGAUGUCUGAUGUGAAAGCCCCGGGCUCAACCUGGGAAUUGCAUUGGAAACUAGCGGGCUGGAGUGUGGCAGCGGGGGGUGGAAUUCCACGUGUAGCAGUGAAAUGCGUAGAGAUGUGGAGGAACACCGAUGGCGAAGGCAGCCCCCUGGGCUAACACUGACGCUCAUGCACGAAAGCGUGGGGAGCAAACAGG